GCUUUAGUUAUGUUUUGGCUGGUUCAAGUAAAUGUGGAUGGUGGUGCUUUAUUAACCUGAAUGUUAUUUGUUUUACAGGUUGGUUAUUCAUUUGGAGAAUGUCUGGCUAUGGAGUAGGUAAUGGGUUUACUUGUGCUUGGAGUGAGAGUGAAGGGCUUUAAAGAUGUAGGGCAAGACAUGUAUGGUUUCUGAUGUGUGUACUAUGUUGCUUUAAUAACUUGCAUGUAUAACUUGUGUUACUUCACUUAGGCAUCUGUUUUACAGGUUGGAUCCAAGUUUUGCAAAAACUGCUGUGCAAGCACUUUAGCAUUGGCUGAUGAGUAGGGGAUGCUGGCCAUAUUUGCUUUAGAAAUAUUCUGCUCCAGUUGCCCUUCAGUCAUGUGUUGGAAACACUAUCAGCAGAUGCAGGCAACCUUGGACAGCUGAAGCUUGUGAAGACCAUAUAGCAUCCUGUUUCUUUUUGUAGGUAUGAGCAGAUGGAUAAAUUCAGUUUGUGUUUUUAACCUGGACAUCUUUGUUUUACAGGUUGGACCCUGGUAUAGGAAAAGCUGGGAGUGGAGGCAGGUAACUUUGGACAGCUAAAGCUUGUGAUCAAGAGGUGAGUAGAAAAAUAGAAGUAAAUGGAUAAUAGUGAUUCUUCAUCUUGGGGAUUGAUUGCUUUUUACAGGGUUUCCUUGUUUGGAAGACUUCUAUGGUACUUCAGUCUGUCAUACUUCCUGUUUCUGGAUCCACUUUCUUUUUAUAGGUAUUUGAGCAUAUGGACAAAUUGAGUUUGGUAUUAUCCUUCUUCAGCCCAACUGAAGCAUGAUAGGUUGGGACAUUGUGUGGAAUGGUUAGAAGUGGAGAGGAAGGUAAUCUUGCACAGUUGAAAGCUUGUGAUCACUAGGUGAGUAGAAAAAUAGAAGUGCACGAAUAACAGUGAUUCUUCAGCUUAUGAAUCGGUUUUUUUUAAAGGUUUUCAUGGUGGGGAAGACCUCUAGCCACUGUGGUUCUUUAGCCUCUCUUACUUCCUAUUUCUGGAUCCUGUGUUUUGUUUGUUUUUUUUGGUUGGAUUACAGGUUUAAUACUUUGUGGAAUGGGAGCAGUGGAGGGAGUAACAUUGGACUGCUGAAGUUCGUGAUGAGUGAGUAGAAGAAAGUGAGAAAGAUUAUUGUUUCUUCAGUUUGGGCAUUUGUUGUUUUUUACAGGAUUUCCUGUUUUUGGAGAUUUCUAUACAAUGUGGUAUGUCAGCCUUGGUAGUUUUCUGGGGAUCCUCUUUCAUGUGGUAGGUAAGUGAGUGGAUAGAAAUAUGGAGUUUGCCAUUGUCUGUCGUCAGCCUGGGCCUCUUUGUUUUACAGGUUGAUAUAUUGUGUGGAAUAGCUAGCAGUGAAGAGGCAGGUAAACGUGCGAUGAUAGGUGAGUAGAAAAAAUAGGUGUGCAUGGAUAAUGACGAUUCUUUGUCCUGGGUCUGUUUUAUAGAUUGGAACAUUGUGUCCAGUAGAAGCAGCUUACCUUGCAUCACUGAAAGCAUGGUAUCCAUAGGUGAGUAGAAACAAUAAAAGUGCAUAGAUAAACAUAAAUCUUAAGCCUGUACUUCUUUGUUUUCUUCCAGAUUGAGACAUUUUGUGGAAAAGGCUAGCCGCAGAGGCAGGUAACUUUGCACAGCUGAAGCUUGUGAUCCGUAGGUGAGUUUAAAAAUAGGUGUGCAUGGAUAAUGAUGAUUCUUUGUCCUGGGUCUGUUUUACAGAUUGGGAUAUUGUGUGGAUUGGAGGAAGCUUACCUUGAAUCACUGAAAGCAUGGUAUUCAUAGGUUAGUAGAAACAAUUAAAGUGCAUAGAUAAAGAUAAAUCUUAAGCCUGUACAUCUUUAUUUUCCAGAUUGGGACAUUGUGUGGAAAAGGCUAGCCGCAGAGGCAGGUAACGUCUAGCCAUUGUGGUAUAUGAGCCUGUCAAACUUCCUGUUUCUUUAGGUAGGUGUUAGUGGGUUGACAAAUUUAGUUUGGCAUUAUCAUUGUUCACCCUGGGCAUUUUUGUUUUAAUGAGACAGGCAACUUUGGGCAGCUGAAGCUUGUGACCUAUAGGUGAGUAGUAAAAUAGGAGUGCAUGACUAAAGAUGAUUCAUAAGCUUGGCAUCUAUUUGUUAACAGGCUUUCCUUCUUUGUAGACUUCUAGCCACUGAGGUUCUUUAGCCAAGCAAACUGUUUCCUUUGGUAGGUAUAUGAGUUGAUAGACAAUUUCAGUUUGGUGUAGCCAUUCUUCAGCCAGGGGGCAUCUCUGUUUUACAGGUUGAUACACUGAGUGAAAUGGCUAGCAGGGGAAACUGGUAACUUUGAACUGUUGAAGAUUAUGAUCUACAGGUGAGAAGAAGAAUAGGUGUGCAUGGAUAAUGAUGAACCUUCAACCAUCUAUUUUUAUUUUUUUACAGGUUUUCCUCAUUUGGAAGACUUCUAGUCACUGGUACUUCAGCCUGUCAAACUUCCUAUUUCUUUAGUGAACCCCCAUAUUUAGUUUGGCAUCGUCAUUCUUCACCCAGUACAUUAUUGUUUAACAGAUUGGAACAGUUUGUGGAAUGGACACAAAUUUCCUUGUACUGCUGAAGCUUUCCUAUAGGUGAGUAGAGGAAUAGGUAAGCAUGGAAAAUCAUGAUUCUUUGUCUUUUUAACAGAUUGGGCCAUUGCGUGGAAUAGAGGCAGCUAACCUUGCACCACUGAAAGCAUGGUAUCCAUAGGUGAGUAACAAAAAUAAAAGUGCAUGGAUAAAGAUGAAUCUUCAACCUGGGCAUCUUUGUAUUACAGAUUGGGACAUUGUGUGGAAUGGUUAGCAUUGAAAAGGCAGGUAACGUUGCACAGCUGAAAGGUUGUGAUCGCUAGGUUGAUUGUUUGUGGAAUGGCCAGCAGUCCAAAGUUACUUCCUCUACUGCUAAAGCUUGUGAUGAGUGAGUAGAAGAAAGUGUGCAAGAUUAUUGUGUUUCUUCAGCUUGUGCAUUUGUUUGUCUUUUUCAGGGUUUCCUAGUUUUAGAGAUGUCUAUCCAGUGUAGUACAUCAGCCGUGGUAGAUUUCUUGGGACCCUCUUUCAUUUGGUAGGUAUGUGAGUAGUUUGAAAAAUGCAGUUUGGCAUUGUCAAUUUUCAGCCUGGGCAUCUUUUGUUUUACAGGUUGAUAUAUUGUGUGGAAUGGCUAGCAGUGGAGAGGAGGGUAACCUUGCACUGCCAAAACCUGUGAUUGAUAGGUUUUCCUCAUUCCUGCCACUGUGGUACUUCAGCCUGUCAAACUGCCUGUUUCUUUCGGUAGGUAUUAGUGGAUGGACAAAUUUAUUUUGGCAUUGUCAUUCUUCACCCAGUACAUUAUUGUUUUACAGAUUAGGACUGGAGACAGGUUCUGUUGUACUGCUCUAGGUGAGUAGAUCAAUAGGUGUGCAUGGAUAAUUAUGGUUCUUUAGUUUGGUUCCAGAUUGGUACUAUGUGUGAAAUGGCUAGCAGUGGAGGCAGGGUAACCUUGCACUACUAAAGAUUGUGAUAAAUAGGUGAGUAGAAGAAUUAGGUGAUCAUGGAUAAUAGAAUGAUUCUUAAACUUGGGCAUCUGUUAUUUUUUUUUCUCAAAGGUAUUUCUGAUUGUAUAGCUAUCUAGCCAUUGUAGGAAUUCAGCCUUGCCAGUUCAUUCGGGAUAUGCUUUUGGUAGGAAUAUAAGUGUAUUUUCUGACUCUGUUUGUUUUAAAUCUUCAGCCUGGUCAUCUUUGUUUUACAGGUUGGGUCCUGGUGUAGGAAAGGUUAGGGGUGGAGGCAGAUAACCUGGGACUGCUGGAACUUGUGAGUGAGUGAAAGAAUAG
Molecule: long non-coding RNA, 3802 nt
Organism: Xenopus tropicalis (tropical clawed frog)
Lineage: Eukaryota; Metazoa; Chordata; Amphibia; Anura; Pipidae
Exons: 3
Source: RefSeq, a predicted model, not a curated record